AUUGAACGCUGGCGGCAUGCCUUACACAUGCAAGUCGAACGCGAAAGGGGGGCAACCCCUGAGUAGAGUGGCGCACGGGUGAGUAAUGCAUCGGAACGUGUCCUGUAGCGGGGGAUAACCUAGCGAAAGCUAGGCUAAUACCGCAUACGCCCUAAGGGGGAAAGUGGGGGAUCGUAAGACCUCACACUAUAGGAGCGGCCGAUGCCGGAUUAGCUAGUUGGUGGGGUAAAAGCUCACCAAGGCGACGAUCCGUAGCUGGUCUGAGAGGAUGAUCGGCCACACUGGGACUGGAACACGGCCCAGGCUCCUACGGGAGUCAGCGAUGGGGAAUUUUGGACAAUGGGGGAAACCCUGAUCCAGCCAUGCCGCGUGAGUGAAGAAGGCCUUCGGGUUGUAAAGCUCUUUCGGCCGGGACGAAAUCGCACGCGUGAAUAUCGUGUGCGGAUGACGGUACCGGCAGAAGAAGGACCGGCUAACUACGUGCCAGCCGCCGCGGUAA
Molecule: ribosomal RNA, 499 nt
Filed under: uncultured bacterium
Lineage: Bacteria
Description: partial 16S ribosomal RNA
Rfam family: Bacterial small subunit ribosomal RNA
Source: RNAcentral